UGAGGAAUAUUGGUCAAUGGACGGGAGUCUGAACCAGCCAAGUAGCGUGCAGGAUGACGGCCCUAUGGGUUGUAAACUGCUUUUAUAGGGGGAUAAAGUGUGCCACGUGUGGCAUAUUGCAGGUACCCUAUGAAUAAGGACCGGCUAAUUCCGUGCCAGCAGCCGCGGUAAUACGGAAGGUCCGGGCGUUAUCCGGAUUUAUUGGGUUUAAAGGGAGCGUAGGCCGGAGAUUAAGCGUGUUGUGAAAUGUAGACGCUCAACGUCUGCACUGCAGCGCGAACUGGUUUCCUUGAGUACGCACAAAGUGGGCGGAAUUCGCGGUGUAGCGGUGAAAUGCUUAGAUAUCACGAAGAACUCCGAUUGCGAAGGCAGUCU
This 375-nucleotide ribosomal RNA is filed under the name uncultured Prevotella sp. RNAcentral describes it as "bacterial SSU rRNA". It matches the Rfam family "Bacterial small subunit ribosomal RNA", at positions 355 to 727 of the family's 1533-position model. Lineage: Bacteria; Pseudomonadati; Bacteroidota; Bacteroidia; Bacteroidales; Prevotellaceae. The record is from RNAcentral.